Molecule: long non-coding RNA, 366 nt
Organism: Cydia splendana
Lineage: Eukaryota; Metazoa; Arthropoda; Insecta; Lepidoptera; Tortricidae
Exons: 2
Source: RefSeq, a predicted model, not a curated record
UUGUUUAUAAAUGCUAUAUGAUUAACAGUUAGCUACAAUCUUUCUGUGUUUGGCCUUACGAAUUUAUUAGAUGUAUUAAGAUCAAACCAAACCAUAUUACAGCAACACCGUUAUGACGAGAUUGACGAGCAUUCUUGUGAUCAUUGCGCUAACAUUGGUGUUAUGGGCGAUGAAAAGCCAAGAACAGAAACUACCCCAGGGCAUGACGACCCCCGAGAACUCUUACAUGCCAAUACGCUACAACGACGUGACAUGCGUACAUAAAGAUUGCCUUAAGGCGUGCUGGGAUAGAAUGAGACGCAAUACGGGGUACUGCUACGACGCGGACUUGUGCGUGUGUUAUGACAAGUAAACGUAUUUUUUUUU